Molecule: ribosomal RNA, 384 nt
Filed under: Triticum aestivum (bread wheat)
Lineage: Eukaryota; Viridiplantae; Streptophyta; Magnoliopsida; Poales; Poaceae
Description: partial small subunit ribosomal RNA
Source: RNAcentral
AUGUCCGUGAUGCGACACCUCCGGCUCGGCAUCACGGCCGGCGGGCACGGGCUCUUCAAGAGCAUGCUCCAAAACCGCGGCUUUGAGCUGGCCACUACCAAGGAAGGGCUCCCGGUGCGCCGGUGCUCGCGCGGCGGACGUCAGCCUAGGAGGAGGAAGGGUACGUCUGCUGCUUCCUCCUCCUUGUUCUACGCACAGUACAUGGCUAAUAUUGGAGAAGAGAUAUGUUGGUUGAACACCAAAGAUGUUGACUAUCCCCUGAAGCUUCUGUGGAUUCACAUCGACAUGAUACUCUACUGCUCUCUAAAGGGGCUCGCCGACCAAGGACCGAUUUGGAGCUCCUCUCUGCAACCGCAGUUCUUUGAAUAUUACAGGAGAUCAUAG